This 3241-nucleotide long non-coding RNA is filed under the name Marmota monax (woodchuck). Lineage: Eukaryota; Metazoa; Chordata; Mammalia; Rodentia; Sciuridae. The record is from RNAcentral.
GUCCAAUUGGAAGUUGGAACUUGGCAAUGUGGAAGAACUUACACCUUGGAAAUCGGGCAAAUGCUACAAAGCCAAGGCUGGAGUGCUAUUUUUGUUAAUUGUUAGAUAAAAGAAAGAAAAUGUGUGAGGCACUGGGUUCGAUCCUCAGCACAGAAGCACAAAAGGAAUGCCUCUAAACCAACGAGAAAAAGGCAGGAGAUCCAGCAGAGAAAAGGGGAAAAGAUGAGGCAGUGCACAGAAGCAUGCCAGAUGCUGGAUUCAGUAAUCUGAAGAAUCUGAAUUAAAACAAGAUGUUGGGUUGAGAGGUGGAUCAGUGGUGGAGCACUUACCUAACAUACACAAGUCCCUGGGUUCCGUCCACAGCACUGUAAAGAGAGAAAGAAGAUGCCCAUUAUAACCAUCAGAUUAUACAAUUAAAAAGUCAUCGAUCUUAAAAACAAAAUACAUGAAUGUCCAAUUGUUCCAAUACCAUUUGUUGAGAAGACUAUCUCCACUGAACUGCUCUUGAACCUUAGCCAUCUAUUGUCCAUACAUGUGUGAUUUCAUUUCUGGAGGUUUCUGUCUUGUUAUAUUCAUCUAGCUUUAUGCCAGUACCACAUUGUCUUUUCUUAAAAUACUUUUAUUUAUUUUUAUGUGGUGCUGAGGAUUUAACCAAGUGCCUCGCACAGGCUAGACAAGUGCUCUACCCCUGAGCCACAACACCAAUGCCCCCACACUGUCUUGAUUAUGAAAACUUCAGACUAAGUCUUGAAAUCAGGCAGUGGUAGUUCUCCAAAUUUGUUCUUCAACAAAGUUGUUUUGGUAUUUUAGAUCCUCUGCAUUUCCAUAUAAACUUAGAAAAAAAAGCUCUUCUGGCAUUUUGGCUGGGAUUGUGUUGAAUCUGUGGAUCAACGGGAAUGUAGGGAGAAUCAACGCGAAUGUAGGGAGAAUCAACGCUGGUCUUGUGAAUGUGGUAUAUAUGUUUAUUUUGGUUCCUUUAAAAUGUGUCAGUACCAUUUUGUAUUUUCCAUUGUAUCAGUCUUGCACAUCUUUUGUUUCUAAGGAUUUCACUUGGAUUGCAAGUGAAAUUCUAGCUUCUGAGUAUCUGUUGCUAGUUUACGGAAACAUGGUGCAUGUUUGUAUGUAGGGUUUUGCACCCUGCACCCUUACUAGCCUCACAUGUUCUAGUAGUAUUACAGAGUCUGGGCCAGAGGCCUGACCAAGGAUCCCACAGAUCUGGUCUGGCCACUACCCCAAACCAAGCAGAAAAGGCAGUGGUGACGCACACAAAGGAGCUUUCAUCAGAACAGCUACAUUUAGGAGACGGGGACCUGUGUCCUUAGCCCUGUUGGUUUGGUUUGGUUUGGUUUGGUUUAGCAGUACUGAGGAUCAAACCCAGGGUGCUCUAUCUGUGAGCUGCAUUUCCAGCCCUUUUUAUUUUUUUGAGACAGGGCCUUGCAAGUUGCUGAUCAUCUUGAUCAGGUGAGUUCAGUGUGUCUCAGGAUUGGUGGUGGUGGUGGGGUCUUGUCUAAGAUUAGAAAGUUGCUAUUGCCUGGAGGCAGUCUUAACUCAUCAGAUGUUUGUCAGACCUGGUUCCUGGAAUCCCAGGUAGCUCAGAGCAAAUGGGAUGGAUGCAAAGUGGAGGUAGAGAGGCCAAGCCCUGUGUGUGUGUGUGUGUGUGUGUGUGUAUGAGUGUAUGACUCGCUGCAAGGGAUCAAAUCCAGGGGCAUGCUAUCACCUAGCCACAUCCUCAUCAGCCCUUUUUAGAUUUUAUUUUGAGGGGGGGUCUCAUUAUGUUGCCCAGGCUGGCCUUGAAUCUGCUAUCCUGCUGCCUCAGCUACCUGAGUAGCAGGGCUUACAGGUGUAGCCACCCCACCUGGAACAAGGUCUUUAGGCCUGCCUUUAGCCACCCAUCAGACAUUUGCAGACCUAGAUGAAGCAUCAGAGCCCUGUCACAGGCUCUUUUUUGGUAGAUCCUGUUAGUUUCCUGUGAAGACGGUCAUAUCACCUGUGAAUGUGUUCUUGAGGCCUCAGGUGUGCAGAAGCCAGGACAGUGAGUGGCACCAGGCUUCUGCAAAAAGAAAAGCUCCUUUGGGCAGCUUUAUUUUUUAAGCUAAGUCUUGCCCAUGUCCCAUGCAGGCGGUCGAGUGGGAGUGGGAGUUCUGCGUGGAAUGAACUGGCUGUGAAAUAAAGCUAAGAAAAGAGGGUGGUGAAGAAACCACACUGCACAAGAGUAAUUUUGAAAAGUGAGGGCAGGACGGCUCUAUGACCUUAGGGGUCCACCUUCUACACUGGAAAUAGACCAAGCGAGCCACUUUUAGGGAACAGAAUGUUCUUCACCAAAUAAGGCAGGAGGUGGGCUGUCCAAACCCAGUGGGUUACUCCCAAUUCCAGAGCUACAGAGCUGUCCCAUUGGUAGAGUAGGGAACAGAUCUCACGCCUUGGGCAGUCUGCACACGGGAAUUCCGGGAUCAUUCCCAAGGGGAGACCCAAGUUCUCCAUGGCUCAGUACUGAGUAAAAGAAACUCAGGUGGCUUCACAGGUCAUGUACCACAGCUAAGGACCAAAUAAGGGCCAAAAAGCUUUUUUGUUCAAUGUUUUAGCUUUAAGGCUUAAUGGACUGGUAAGGAGGCCGGGGGCCUCCCUGUUGGAUGCUUAGUGAGGAAAUUGACAGGAAGUGGGGAAAGUUGGUGCAGUGCUAGCUUCUUUGGGGGAGUUAUGUUCUAUUCACAGGAUUUGGAGCUUGUCACAUCUUUGAGUGGACACUGUGUGCAUAUGGACAUGUCCACUCUUGAAAAGUCAGUUCUACACCUCAGAUCAGUGAGAGACCUAGAGGCUUGUCUUGAAGUUCAUCCAAUGAUACUAGGGAUAAAAGCUAUAUCCCCAGCCCUGGCAUGACAGACUCCUCAUGGCAGCCUGUGCUUGCUGCCCACAUAGCUACCACUCUGCCACUUCACUGCUCCCCUACCCCUUCUCAGCAGGGACAGUGUGCUGGCUGCAGGGCUUGGUGGCCAGGGAGCCAUGUCAGUAAUGGUGGUGGAUAGUCACGUCUUCGUAUAGAAGGUGGAUACCUAUACCCGGUGAGUGGUAGGGGGUGGAUACCUCUACCUGGUGAGUGGUAGCAGGGUGGACACCUCUAUCCUGUGAGUGGUAGGUAGUGGACACCUCCACCUGGUGAGUGGAACAUUGUAUAGUCUCUCUUUCCCUGUGAUCAUUAGUAUCAUUUUUUAAUAUAGUUUUGUCCCUUUUUAUUACGUUAACC